Molecule: ribosomal RNA, 265 nt
Filed under: uncultured bacterium
Lineage: Bacteria
Description: partial 16S ribosomal RNA
Rfam family: Bacterial small subunit ribosomal RNA
Source: RNAcentral
AAACAAAGGGAGGCGAAGUGGUGACACGGAGCGAACCCCAAAAAUAACGUCCCAGUUCGGAUUGCAGUCUGCAACUCGAGUGCAUGAAGCUGGAAUCGCUAGUAAUCGCGGAUCAGAAUGCCGCGGUGAAUACGUUCCCGGGUCUUGUACACACCGCCCGUCACACCAUGGGAGUCGAUAACGCCCGAAGUCAGUGACCCAACCUUAUAGGAGGGAGCUGCCGAAGGCGGGAUUGAUAACUGGGGUGAAGUCGUAACAAGGUACC